This 77-nucleotide antisense RNA is filed under the name Escherichia coli. RNAcentral's name for it is "sRNA antisense regulator destabilizing divergent and overlapping symE mRNA". It matches the Rfam family "SymR antitoxin". Lineage: Bacteria; Pseudomonadati; Pseudomonadota; Gammaproteobacteria; Enterobacterales; Enterobacteriaceae. The record is from RNAcentral. RNAcentral also lists the same sequence under 7 other names.
AGUCAUAACUGCUAUUCUCCAGGAAUAGUGAUUGUGAUUAGCGAUGCGGGUGUGUUGGCGCACAUCCGCACCGCGCU